Molecule: ribosomal RNA, 492 nt
Filed under: uncultured bacterium
Lineage: Bacteria
Description: partial 16S ribosomal RNA
Rfam family: Bacterial small subunit ribosomal RNA
Source: RNAcentral
AGUGAACGCUGGCGGUAGGCCUAACACAUGCAAGUCGAACGGCAGCACAGUAAGAGCUUGCUCUUACGGGUGGCGAGUGGCGGACGGGUGAGGAAUACAUCGGAAUCUACUUUUUCGUGGGGGAUAACGUAGGGAAACUUACGCUAAUACCGCAUACGACCUACGGGUGAAAGCAGGGGAUCUUCGGACCUUGCGCGAUUGAAUGAGCCGAUGUCGGAUUAGCUAGUUGGCGGGGUAAAGGCCCACCAAGGCGACGAUCCGUAGCUGGUCUGAGAGGAUGAUCAGCCACACUGGAAAUGAGACACGGUCCAGACUCCUACGGGAGGCAGCAGUGGGGAAUAUUGGACAAUGGGCGCAAGACUGAUCCAGCCAUACCGCGUGGGUGAAGAAGGCCUUCGGGUUGUAAAGCCCUUUUGUUGGGAAAGAAAAGCAGCAGGUUAAUACCCCGCUGUUCUGACGGUACCCAAAGAAUAAGCACCGGCUAACUUCGUG